This 67-nucleotide microRNA precursor is filed under the name Bombyx mori (domestic silkworm). RNAcentral's name for it is "mir-2774 microRNA precursor family". It matches the Rfam family "mir-2774 microRNA precursor family". The record is from Rfam by way of RNAcentral. Lineage: Eukaryota; Metazoa; Arthropoda; Insecta; Lepidoptera; Bombycidae.
UGGGGGGCUGGACCGUCGGUCUACCGAACAAUAUCACCCGCUCGGUAGAAGAUCUACCCUUUUCGGU